AGUUGAAACAAAAACCAUAAGAAACGACACCAGAAAUUCAUCAAGAUAGUCCAGAAUUGUUGAAGAACCAAAAAUGGAGAAAGAAGAAGAGAAAGCCUACAGAGCUCACUGUAUAGUAUUGCCCUAUCCAACCCAAGGCCACAUAAACCCCAUGCUUCAAUUCUCUAAACGCAUACAACACAAAGGGGUUAAGGUCACUCUUGUUAAUACACGUUUUAUUUCCAAUACCAUCACCCAUAAACCAUCAUCCAGUACUUCCAUUGCUCUUGAAACCAUAUCAGAUGGCUACGAUGAAGGUGGUAUAGAUCACGCAGAAAGCGUCCAGGUCUACCUAGAUACCUUCAGGAAGGUGGGUUCUCAAACUCUUUCCAAUCUUGUUGAGAAGCUAAAUGCCUCUGGCUUCCCUGUAGAUUGCAUUGUUUAUGAUGCUUUUAUGCCUUGGUGUCUUCAAGUUGCGAAGAAAUUUGGUUUGCUUUCUGCCGUUUUUUUCACUCAAUCUUGUGCUGUUGAUAUCAUAUACUAUCAUGUUUUUCGACGGCUGAUCAAACCUCCCGUUAAGGAGAAUGAAAUCUUAUUGGCUCCUGGAUUGCCUCCACUUGAAGUUCAAGAUCUGCCAUCUUUCAUUCAUCAUUAUGGAUCUUACCCUGCAGCUUUUGAAAUGCUUAUGAAUCAGUUCUCCAAUAUUGAUGAAGCCGAUUGGGUUCUCUGCAACACGUUUUAUGAGUUGGAACAAGAGGCUAGUAAAUCAAUCUUUAAUUUCCACUUUGAUUUGCAUAUUAUGGUGUAUAUAAAUCUAAAAUUUUUCUAUAAACAGGGGGCAGAUUGGCUGGCGAAGCUCUGGCCAUUGAAGACAAUUGGACCAACUAUGCCAUCCAUGUACUUAGACAAGCAAAUCCAAGAUGAUAAAGACUAUGGUUUCAGUAUCUUUAAGCCAAAUAAUGAAGCUUGCAUGAAUUGGCUUAAUCAUAAGCCAACAGGGUCAGUUGUAUAUGUGUCUUUCGGGAGCCUGGCAACUCUAGGAGCUGAGCAAAUGGAAGAGCUGUGUUGGGGUUUGAGAAGGAGUAAUUGUUACUUCUUGUGGGUAGUAAGAGAAUCUGAAGAGGCAAAACUCCCAGAAAACUUUGUACAAGAAACUUCGGAGAAGGGUUUGGUGGUGAGAUGGUGUCCACAGCUAGAGGUCUUAGCAGAUGAAGCAGUGGGAUGCUUUCUCACACAUUGUGGAUGGAACUCAACCUUGGAGGCAUUGAGUUUGGGAGUGCCAAUGGUGGCAAUGCCACAGUGGACAGACCAAAGCACCAACGCCAAGUAUAUUAUGGAUGUUUGGAAAAUGGGAAUUAGAGCUCCAAUGGGUGAGAAAGGGGUUGUUGGAAGAGAUGUGAUAAGGGAUUGCAUAAAAGAAGUAAUUGAGGGAGAGAGCAGGAAAGAGAUGCGAGAAAAUGCAGAGAAAUGGAGAAAUCUAGCCAAAGCAGCAGCAGAUGAAGGUGGAAGUUCCGAUAAGAACAUUCGUGAGUUCGUCGGAAAUCUGCUUCACGAUCGAUCCUAUGUUUCUCCUUGUACCAAUGGAGUAUAGUCACAUUUUGAGUACUUUAUAUUAUUUUAUUUUAAUUAAUAAAUGGAUGAUUUGAUGUGUGGACA
This 1635-nucleotide unclassified non-coding RNA is filed under the name Hevea brasiliensis (rubber tree). Lineage: Eukaryota; Viridiplantae; Streptophyta; Magnoliopsida; Malpighiales; Euphorbiaceae. The record is from RNAcentral.